AACGAGCAGCAGAGCCGCCCAGCAGCAACCACAUUAGGAAGGAAUCGGAAACCAACGCUCCGCUGGCUGUCACCCCUUACCCACUUGCUGUCAGACCACAGCCUGAGGCAGCCAAACCCAUUUCCUUGGGGAUCCAGCGCAAACCAGAGAGUGUGGACAGGCCGAUGGAAGAAUGUUGGACCAGCUUUAAGAAUGGGCUGUUCUAAGUCAUGAAUAUUGUAGGAAGCAGCUCUAAGGACCACAGGGCUGGAGGGUGCACAGGAAGGGGCCAGUGCAUACAGGUGUCCAAACAGUGUCAUCCGGUGUCCUGACAUGCGGCCCCAAUGGACUGAUCCAGGGUGGAAAGGAAGAGUGAGAAGAAAUCAGACAGAAGAAUUCAGGAGAUGUGGCAACAGAGUGGAUGUAGCAGAAGGGACAUAGAGAGUGCCUAAAGAUGAGUCUUUGGUCAGCAUGUGAUGAAAAGAAUGAAGACACUGGGGAAGUGGGGAGCAGAAGCGGAUGUGGGCCCAGGAGGAAGAAGAAUUUGGGACCUGGGAGUUUGGGAGAAAAGCAAAGAAGGCCUGGGGUUGAGUGAGACACAGGGUCCCAGCCAGCAGCUAGAACACGAGGAGAAAAGAAGAAAGGACUCACUGAAAGGGAAUUGCUGAAGAGGACCUUUAUAUCUGAGGGCUUUACUUUGUGCUUUGUAAUUUCCCUUUGUCAUCCUCAUCUUUUAGGAAACUGAUUAACCACUAUAAUUUACGUCGUAUUAGCAACGCCUUAGAGAAUGAAGGAGGAACUGUACUUAUUCUUGGAGCGUAGCCUGGAGAGAGGCAGAAGCCUUCAGGAGCUGUUACUAGGUAGUAGGAAAUCACUCUCUCUAGAGUCCUCUGAAACAGUCUGGAAGAGAAUGGAUUUCCUGCUGUUGUGCAGGAUGAGGGUUUGAGUACAGUAAUUUAAUUUACUUAUUUAAAAAAUACUGGAAGAUGGGGAGGGAGGAUGGGUCAGAUUAUAAUAUGUUCAUAUGUCUAAGGCAGGAAAUUAGAUACAAGAUGAAAUCUAAGAAAGUUCUGUGAUUGGGUUUCUCCCACAGAAGGAGGAGAAAAUCCCUGCAUCUCUGGUUAUGCAAAUAAUAUGCAAAUUACAGUGAUUACAUACUUGCUUAGAAAAUUUUGAUUACCUCAUUUUGACUUCAGGCAGAGUUGGGACACCAAAAGGGAAUGUUUGUCAACAGUCCAGAGUUGUUAGAUUUCUUCCAGGGGAAAUGAAAGGGUAAAUUUCUUACCAAACACAAGGGUUUUAAAUAAGUUUUUCAAACUCCUUAAUGUCUCCCUUCCACAAAGCAUACCAAAAAAAAAAAAAAAUUACAAUAGAGUCAAAAUGUGAUCUGUAGACAAAAUGAAGGACAAAUGGUUUUCCCCCCUAAAUUUUACUCCAGGGUACAUUUUCUCCUCUUUCUUUGUCGAACAAUGUGAAGUAAGGGCUUGGAUUUUGUCCUGCAGAUGGUUUUGCAAUCAGUUCUAGCCAUUUCUCUAAGUCUGGGCUUCAAAUCUGUCAGUUGAGAGUGAUACAGUUGCCUGUCCCAUGGUGGUGUUAAGUGAGGCUGAGAGCAUCAAACAAAUGUCCCAGCUCCUGCCACAGUUGCAUCCUUGACACGUUCCAGUGGUGCCCGAGCAACACUGCAAAGACCCCCUGGGAUGUCUGUUGGCAAGAAAAGGUGGAGCCACUGCCCUGGGGGGCUGGGAAGGGAGUUAGAGAACUACUGUCUUAACCUAAAAUUUGGGCAGAAUCUGCCUUGGAUCAAAUUUAAAAUCUUUUCUGAAUAUUAGCUGACUUGAUUAGAAACUAGUUGUCUCUCCCCUUCUCAGCAGAAGACUGUGGAAUGUGUCUCCUAGCAACAGAGAUGUGUUACUAUCUUAUGGUAGGACUGUUUUAUAAAGCAGCAAUCUCCAACCUUUUUGGCACCAGAGACCAGUUUCAUGGAAGAUGAUUUCUCCACAGACAGGGAAGUGGGGGGAUGGUUUCAGGAUGACUCAUGCGCAUUACAUUUAUUGUGUACUUUAUUUCUAUUAUUAUUACAUUGUAAUAUAUAAUGAAAUAAUUAUACAACUCACCAUAAUGUAGAAUCAGUGGAACCCCUGAGCUUGUUUUCCUGCAACUAGAUGGUUCUAUCUGGGGGGUGAUGGGAGACACUGACAGAUGAUCAGGCAUUAGAUUCUCAUAAGAAGUGCACAACCUAGAUCCCUCACAUGUGCAGUUUACAGUACGGUUCACGCUCUUUUGAGAAUCUUAUGCUGCUGCUGAGGUGGAAGGUGGAGGUGGAGGUCGAAGGUGGAGGUGGAGCUCAGGCAGUAAUGUGAGCAAUGGGGAAUGGCUGUAAAUACAGAUGAAGCUUCACUCACUUGCCUGCCACUCAAAACAGGCCACAGACCAGUACCGUGUAGAAGUACCAAUCUGUAGCCUGGGGGUUGAGGACCGCAGCUAUAAAGGACACUCAUUCUGCUGUCCGCACUUCUCCCAAUAACUACCAGGAAAGGGUCACAGUCAGAAUGAAUUUAGCCAUUCACCUUCAGUACCAAUGCAUUGUCCUAAAGAGGUAACAGUUCCACUGGCUUCAAAUCUUUUGUAUCAUUUGUGUCUUCCUUCCCUCUCUUCUCUUCCUCUCUCAUUCACACUUUUCUCUUCUUUCUCCCCAAUCUCUCAACUCCUUUCCUUCCUUGCUUCCCUGACCACUACCUUUUCAACAUCUGUCUUUUGACCUUUCCCUUUCCCUUCUUUAUUCCUAUCCCUGCCACCAUCCUGUGUAAAGUGCUAUCAGUUCUACUCCAUUCUUCCCUCUACCUCUGCCCUUAACCCUAGUUCCAGGUCCAGGUAGUUCCUUACCCCACCCUCUGGACAAGGCUGCUUCUGGGCUAUAAUCUCUUUUCAAGAUAUUUUAUCCUACAUGCAGCUGCCAAGUUAUUUCCCCUACAACAGCAAUCUAUUCAUAACACAGCCCUGCUCAAAAACCUUUAAGGGUUUACAUUUCCUAUGGAGUAAAAACCAAGUCGUAAGCCUCAUGUUCCAGAGCCAAGACAGUAUGGUUCUAUUCAUCUUUUGCAGCCUGGGCAUGCUCUGGUUUUCUUUAGACAUGCACUGUUCCUGUCAAAAUGCCUCUUAUCCACCUGGGUCUCUUCUCCAGCUGUUUCCUCUGCCUAAAGUUCCCUCACCCCAAUUCCUCCAUCUCUGCACAUCUAAAACCACUAGGGCUACCUCAAGCUUAGCCUGUUCUGUGCAACCUUUCCUGAUAUCUCUACCUAAUCCUUCUUCUGAACCCCUAUAGAACUUAUCCCCAUAAUGAGGUCACCCUAACAACAAUCAACCAGGUGCUGCCAGCUCUGUCCCACACAUCAAUAUGACCUUCAGCCCCUGCCUAAGUUCCAUUGUAGAAGUGUCUCUAGAAGUUCCCAGGGUGCCUCACAUGUACUCCCUGAAUAAGGACACUUCUUUCAGGUCUUGCCAGUGCUCUGCCAUCUUCCCCCAAGCAUCUGCUGGGCACCAUUGCUCCUGACACAGCUAGGGAGCUCCUACCACGUCAAGGUUUACAGUGUUCUGGAGUAAGUUGCAGAAUGAACCUGCAACUCCUCCUUACUGAGGAGUCAGAGUCCACUCUAUCAGGGAGAUCUCAAAAGAAUGUUGUUGAUGCUCUAAUGGUCUUUGAGGUACUGUAAAACAGUUCUUUCUGCUUAUUCCCCCAAGCCCCAUCCCUAUGGAGCCAUAGGAUUCCAAUGUUAGGUAAAUGUGACAGAGCAUUGUGCUUUACUUGGAAUUGACCCUUCUGCCCAAAAUGCUGCAUUCUUACUGAGUCAGGUAUGUUAUACCUGCUCUGUCUUCACACAUGGCCUUCGUCAGCCCCUAAUAUAAGUAAAUGAGGGGCUGGACUGCCUAUAUAUUUUCUAGAAAAUGUAGUCUUAAUGAGUCACUGUUAUGGUUGGAAAUGUAUCCUAUCCCUCAAGUAUGCUGGGGAAGAAAAGUGGUUAAGACAUACUAGAUUCUAUGAUACUCCAGAACUGCACUGCUCAACACAGUGGCUACUGGCCACAUGAGGCUAUAGAGCACUUGAAAUUUAGCUACUCCCAACUGAGAGGUGCUAUGAGUAUAAAAUUCAUAUCAGGUUUCAAAGACUUACUCCUCCAAAAAAGGGUGUAAAAUAAGUCAUUAAUAACUUUUGUAACGUUGACUACAUGUUGAAAUAAUACUUUGUAUUAGGUCAAAUAACAUGCCAUUAAAAUGGAUUUCACCUCUUCUUACUUUCUUAGUAUGGUUUCUAGAAAACUUAAAAUUACAUACAUGGUUUGCAUUUGUGGCACACCUUAUAUUUCUAUUGCACAGUGCUGCUCUAGAGCAGCUCUCUAGAGCACUUGUUAGAAAUGCAAACCCUUGGGCCCCAGCUCAGACCUACUGAGUCAGAAACUCCAGUAGGGCCCAGCAAUCUGUGGCAAACAAGUUCUCCAGCUAGUCCUGGCUCACACUGACAUUAAG
Molecule: long non-coding RNA, 4500 nt
Filed under: Homo sapiens (human)
Lineage: Eukaryota; Metazoa; Chordata; Mammalia; Primates; Hominidae
Description: non-protein coding lnc-IL6-3:22
Source: RNAcentral